UCCCUACGGGGUGCACCAGUCGCGAAAACUCCGCAAUACACGAAAGUGUGACGGGGCUAUCCCGAGUGCCAUCCGCUGAGGAUGGCUUUUCCCCAGCUGUAUAAAGCUGGGGGAAUAAGGAGAGGGCAAGCCUGGUGUCAGCCGCCGCGGUAAUACCAGCUCUCCGAGUGGUGGGGAUGUUUAUUGGGCCUAAAGCAUUCGUAGCCUGCUUGGCAAGUCCUCCGUUAAAUCCAGCGAUUCAAUCGUUGGGCUGCGGGGGAUACUGUUCGGCUAGGGGGCGGGAGAGGCCGACGGUAUCCUCGGGGUAGGGGUGAAAUCCUAUAAUCCCGGGAGGACCACCAGUGGCGAAGGCUGUCGGCUAGAACGCGCUCGACGGUGAGGGAUGAAAGCUGGGGGAGCGAACCGGAUUAGAUACCCGGGUAGUCCCAGCUGUAAACGAUGCAGGCUAGGUGUUGGAGCGGCUACGAGCCGCUUCAGUGU
This 480-nucleotide ribosomal RNA is filed under the name uncultured organism. Its description in RNAcentral is "bacterial SSU rRNA". It matches the Rfam family "Archaeal small subunit ribosomal RNA", at positions 319 to 801 of the family's 1478-position model. The record is from RNAcentral.